Molecule: ribosomal RNA, 253 nt
Filed under: uncultured bacterium
Lineage: Bacteria
Description: partial 16S ribosomal RNA
Rfam family: Bacterial small subunit ribosomal RNA
Source: RNAcentral
UACGUAGGGACCGAGCGUUGUCCGGAAUCAUUGGGCGUAAAGAGCGUGUAGGCGGCCUGCUAAGUCGAACGUGAAAUCCCUGGGCUCAACCCAGGAACUGCGUCCGAUACUGGUUGGCUUGAAUCCGGGAGAGGGAUGUGGAAUUCCAGGUGUAGCGGUGAAAUGCGUAGAUAUCUGGAGGAACACCGGUGGCGAAGGCGACAUCCUGGACCGGUAUUGACGCUGAGGCGCGAAAGCCAGGGGAGCAAACGGG